Orbicella faveolata is the source of this 1348-nucleotide long non-coding RNA. RefSeq lists it as uncharacterized. The record is from RefSeq and is a predicted model, not a curated record. NCBI's taxonomy places the organism in Eukaryota, Metazoa, Cnidaria, Anthozoa, Scleractinia, Merulinidae.
GAAAAAUUAUUUCCAGGAGUAAAGUCUGAAGUCCAAAUUCGCGAAAAUUUGUUUCCGCGAACUCGAAAAAUCCCAACCCUAGACCAUUAAUUACGUGUCGUUUUUCAAUGCUAUAGAUAUAUCUUGGACUUUUGCCUUUCGACGUGUUGAUUCAAGAAGGCUUAUUCGAUAUCCAUAAGUGAGUAUGAGGGUGGUUCGGGAAGUUAAAGUAAACCCUACUUACAAUGUUUCCGCUACAGCCAUUGCAAAUUGAUUAAGUAGUUAUUUUUAACGCGAUUAUAUUAUGAUAAACAAGAGGAUCGUCACUCGGAAAUGCGCAAAACGAGAUGCAAUAAGACGUCAGUGUCAGUAAUUUUACCUCCUGGGUAACUUUUUUUGCUUUAUAAGAGAGUGUCCUUCCCAAUAAGUUUCGUUGCUUCAGUUUGGACCACAGCUACUGGGUGGCAACCAUUUUAGAGCAAUUUGUGCUGCAUCAAUUUGCGAUACGUGUUUAACAAACAAUUGACAAUCUCGAAAGCCCCGUGCUCGAUUGGUCAACUGUUCAAGACAAGACGACAAUUUUUCACACCUGCACAGUUUCUACACUGAACACCCAAACGAUGAAGACGAACUUCAUUCUAGUGGUGAUGGUACUGUUUUUAGUACCAGUGGCAACUGCUUUCUUUUCCUUAAGUGACUGCGAGAGCCUUUGUCACUAUGAAGUCAAGCAUUGCUCACAAAAUUGCUUUUUACGACGUUGCUUCAAGUACUGUGAUGACACGUUCAGUGAAUGCAAAGAGGCCUGUGUAAAACGGAGCAAGGAGGACCCAGAUUCCAACCGUAAAGUAGCCAAAUGAAGUAAACAAUAGCUGAAGGCUUCUUGCAGAAGAAUCCACUAAAUGAUUUAUGUUCAUUGUAUUUGAACGUCCUGUGUACGAAGUUGAAAUAAACGCCACGUUUUUCUCACUAACCGUCUCUGAUUCAUAACUGAAUCAUCCAAAGUUCCUCUUCAAACAUGUAAAACGUGCCCGUUUAAUACAGAAUUCAUCUGAAAAAAAUGGUUUCACUUUACUUUUUUAAACACCCUUACCUCCCCAGGGGACUACUCUCGAAGGUUUUAUACAGGGACUCUCCGCCCCGAGGUUCAACCCCUUACCCUUUUGUAUUCCACUUUGACUGGCAGAAAAAAUACCCCUUUCGUAUACCAUUUAUUGAAAAAGGUACCUCUUUCACAUACCUACUUUAGAACACUGCAUCCCUUUUCUAAACCCUUGGAAUGAAGUUAGGAAAAAUAUUAUAGGAGAACACCAAGCAAUGUGUUUGAACUUCCUGUCGGUACGAAGUUGAAAUAAACGCCACGUUUUUCUCA